GGUACCGCCACGGUUUAAAUUUCUUGGAACAGAAUGUCAAAGAGGGUGAGAGUCCCGUCUUGGACCGCGGUAGGGCCUGUGUAAAACUCCUUCGAAGAGUCGACUUGUUUGGGAAUGCAGGUCAAAAUGGGUGGUAAAUUUCAUCUAAAGCUAAAUAUUGGCCAGAGACCGAUAGCGCACAAGUAGAGUGAUCGAAAGAUGAAAAGCACUUUGAAAAGAGAGUUAAACAGUAUGUGAAAUUGUUGAAAGGGAAGCGCUGGCAACCAGACUCGUGCGCGGGGUUCCCCCUUGCUUCUGCUUGGGUCACUUCCCCGUGUCCGGGCCAUCAUCAGUUUCGGGGGCCGGUUAAAGGCCCUGGGAAUGUACCCACGCCUUCGGGGGUGGACUUAUAGCCCAGGGUGUCAUGCGGCCACCCGGGACUGAGGAACGCGCUUCGGCGAGGAUGAUGGCGUAAUGGUUGUCAGCGGCCCGUCUUGAAACACGGACCAAGGAGUCUAACA
Molecule: ribosomal RNA, 500 nt
Filed under: Knufia petricola
Lineage: Eukaryota; Fungi; Ascomycota; Eurotiomycetes; Chaetothyriales; Trichomeriaceae
Description: partial large subunit ribosomal RNA
Rfam family: Eukaryotic large subunit ribosomal RNA
Source: RNAcentral